This 138-nucleotide non-coding RNA is filed under the name Pelosinus propionicus DSM 13327. Lineage: Bacteria; Bacillati; Bacillota; Negativicutes; Selenomonadales; Sporomusaceae. The record is from RNAcentral.
UUAUGGGUGAAAGUCCCAUCCCGGUAACUGCCAAGAGGCUGGGUAGCUAAUCCCGGUGCGUCGCAGAAAUGCGGGGUGCUGAGCGGGAGGAUAAAGUACCUGGAAACAGGGCGAGCAAAGAUAUAGACUGCAACAUGA